This 217-nucleotide unclassified non-coding RNA is filed under the name uncultured fungus. RNAcentral's name for it is "sequence contains ITS1". The record is from RNAcentral. Lineage: Eukaryota; Fungi.
GUUCAAGUGGUUGUUUGUAACUUUCGUGUAACUUUGGUUAGGUUACGAUAGAGGAGAAACAGUGCUUCUCCUCUACCUCACUAGUCGCGCGAGUCUUACGAGAAGACCACCACUAGUUCUGCGCUGCAGAGAGCAACACUAAGUCACCCCUCUUGUUGAUCGGACUUUAGCAUCCUCACAACCGGUAAUGAUCCUUCCGCAGGUUCACCUACGGAAA